RNAcentral lists this ribosomal RNA (459 nucleotides) under uncultured bacterium. Its description in RNAcentral is "partial 16S ribosomal RNA". It matches the Rfam family "Bacterial small subunit ribosomal RNA", at positions 339 to 795 of the family's 1533-position model. The record is from RNAcentral.
CUACGGGUGGCAGCAGUAAGGAAUAUUGCGCAAUGGAGGCAACUCUGACGCAGCCAUGCCGCGUGCAGGAAGAAGGCCUUAUGGGUCGUAAACUGCUUUUAUUUAGGAAUAAACCCCCGAACGUGUUCGGGGCUGAAGGUACUAAACGAAUAAGCACCGGCUAACUCCGUGCCAGCAGCCGCGGUAAUACGGAGGGUGCAAGCGUUAUCCGGAUUUAUUGGGUUUAAAGGGUGCGCAGGCGGGCUAUUAAGUCAGUGGUGAAAUCCCGGGGCUCAACUCCGGAACUGCCAUUGAUACUGAUAGUCUUGAGUUUGGUUGAAGUGGGCGGAAUGUAGCAUGUAGCGGUGAAAUGCAUAGAUAUGCUACAGAACACCAAUCGCGAGGGCAGCUCACUAAGCCAAAACUGACGCUCAUGCACGAAAGCGUGGGGAUCAAAUAGGAUUAGAUACCCCCGUAGUC